Molecule: ribosomal RNA, 1909 nt
Filed under: Candidatus Poribacteria bacterium
Lineage: Bacteria; Candidatus Poribacteria
Description: partial 23S ribosomal RNA
Rfam family: Bacterial large subunit ribosomal RNA
Source: RNAcentral
CUAAGUGGUAAAGGAUGUUUUGUUGCUGAGACAGCCAGGAUGUUGGCGUAGAAGUGGCAACCAUUUAAAGAGUGUGUAAUAACUCACUGGUUGAGCGAUUUUGCACCGAAAAUUUCCGGGGCUAAGCGUAUUACCGAAGCUAUGGAUGUAUAUUUCUUUAUAUCUAAUAUAAAGACAAAAUAUAUGUGGUAGGGGAGCGUUCUAUAGUAGGACUGAAGGAGGACCGUGAGGUACUCUGGACGAAUUAGAAGUGAUUAUGCCGGCAUGAGUAGCGAUAAAACAAGUAAGAAGCUUGUUCGCCGAAAGCCUAAGGGUUCCUGGGCAAGGCAAUUCCGCCCAGGGUUAGUCGGAUCCUAAGUCGAGGCCGAAAGGCGUAGACGAUGGGAAGCAGGCGUAAUAUUCCUGCACCACCAUGACUAGAUUGAUACUAGGGGAGACGCAAGUAUUAGGAACUACCAGCUGAUGGAUAUGCUGGGUUAAGCCCGACGGAGUGUACCAGGUAAAUCCGGUACAUCAAACUCCGGGAGGUGAACAGGAUUCCGUAAGGAUGCAAACUGUUCCGGUUACUUGCCAAGAAAAGAACCUCGAGUGGACGAAUCAUGGUGACCGUACCGUAAACCGACACAGGUAGGCGAGGAGAGAAUCCUAAGGCGCCCGAGAGAACUCUCGCUAAGGAACUCGGCAAAAUGACCCCGUAACUUCGGGAGAAGGGGUGCUUUUAGUACGUGCCGCGUUUCGCACGCGAAACCGAAAAAAGCCGCAGUGAAAUGGCCCAUGCGACUGUUUACUAAAAACACAGGUCUCUGCUAAAUCGUAAGAUGAUGUAUAGGGACUGACGCCUGCCCGGUGCCAAAAUGUUAAGGCGAGGAGUCAAGGGUAACCGGAAGCUCCGAACUGAAGCACUGGUAAACGGCGGCCGUAACUAUAGCGGUCCUAAGGUAGCGAAAUUCCUCGUCGGGUAAAUUCCGACCUGCACGAAUGGCGUAACGACAUGGGCACUGUCUCGGCGAGAGACUCGGUGAAAUUGUAAUACCGGUGAAGAUGCCGGUUACCCGUACCAAGACGGAAAGACCCCGUGAACCUUUACUAUAGCUUGAUAUUGGGUUUUAAUGCUGCAUGUGUAGGAUAGGUGGGAGACUUUGAAACUGGGGCGCUAGCUUCAGUGGAGUCGUCCUUGAAAUACCACUCUUGUUGCAUUGGAAUUCUAACUCCGGCACGUGAAUCCGUGUCGAGGACAGUGUCAGGUGGGUAGUUUGGCUGGGAUGGUCGCCUCCUAAAAUGUAACGGAGGCACCCUAAGGUUCCCUCAGCGCGAUUGGAACCGCGCGUAGAGUGCAAAGGCAGAAGGGAGCUUAACUGCAAGACGGACACGUCAAGCAGAUGCGAAAGCAGGGCUUAGUGAUCUUACGGUGCUGUGUGGAAAGGCCGUAACUCAUUGGAUAAAAGGUACUCCGGGGAUAACAGGCUAGUCGCCCCCGAGCGCUCACAGCUACGGGGCGGUUCGGCACCUCGAUGUCGGCUCGUCACAUCCUGGGGCUGCAGCAGGUCCCAAGGGUUUGGCUGUCCUCCGAUUAAAGUGGCACGCGAGCUGGGUUUAGAACGGCGUAAGCCAGUUCGGUCCCUAUCUGGUACGGGCGUAGGAUAUUUGAGUGGAGCUGCCCCUAGUAUGAGAAGACCGGGGUGGAUGUACCUCUAGUGCACCAGUUGUCACGCCAGUGGCAUCGCUGGGUAGCUAUGUGCAGAAAGGAGAAACGCUGAAAGCAUAUAAGCGUGAAACCUACCUCAAGAUAAGAUAUCCCACAACGUUAAGUUGGUAAGACUCCUUUGAGAUCAGGAGGUUGAUAGGCCAGAUGUGUACGCCGUGCGAGCGGUUCAGCUAACUGGUACUAAUAAGUCGAGGGCUUGAUAAC